Molecule: unclassified non-coding RNA, 336 nt
Filed under: soil metagenome
Description: partial contains 5.8S ribosomal RNA, internal transcribed spacer 2, and large subunit ribosomal RNA
Rfam family: 5.8S ribosomal RNA (bases 1-120)
Source: RNAcentral
GAUGAAGAACGCAGCGAAAUGCGAUAAGUAGUGUGAAUUGCAGAAUUCAGUGAAUCAUCGAAUCUUUGAACGCACAUUGCGCCCCUCGGUAUUCCGUGGGGCAUGCCUGUUCGAGCGUCAUCUACACCCUCAAGCUCUGCUUGGUGUUGGGCGUCUGUCCCGCCUCCGCGCGUGGACUCGCCCCAAAUUCAUUGGCAGCGAUCCUUGCCUCCUCUCGCGCAGCACAUUGCGCUUCUUGAGGGGCUCCGGUUCGCGUCCAACAAGCACAUUUACCGUCUUUGACCUCGGAUCAGGUAGGGAUACCCGCUGAACUUAAGCAUAUCAAUAAGCGGAGGA